GAACAGAUAAGGAGCUUGCUCCUUUGACGUUAGCGGCGGACGGGUGAGUAACACGUGGGUAACCUACCUAUAAGACUGGGAUAACUUCGGGAAACCGGAGCUAAUACCGGAUAACAUUUGGAACCGCAUGGUUCUAAAGUGAAAGAUGGUUUUGCUAUCACUUAUAGAUGGACCCGCGCCGUAUUAGCUAGUUGGUAAGGUAACGGCUUACCAAGGCGACGAUACGUAGCCGACCUGAGAGGGUGAUCGGCCACACUGGAACUGAGACACGGUCCAGACUCCUACGGGAGGCAGCAGUAGGGAAUCUUCCGCAAUGGGCGAAAGCCUGACGGAGCAACGCCGCGUGAGUGAUGAAGGGUUUCGGCUCGUAAAACUCUGUUAUUAGGGAAGAACAAAUGUGUAAGUAACUGUGCACGUCUUGACGGUACCUAAUCAGAAAGCCACGGCUAACUACGUGCCAGCAGCCGCGGUAAUACGUAGGUGGCAAGCGUUAUCCGGAAUUAUUGGGCGUAAAGCGCGCGUAGGCGGUUUCUUAAGUCUGAUGUGAAAGCCCACGGCUCAACCGUGGAGGGUCAUUGGAAACUGGGAAACUUGAGUGCAGAAGAGGAAAGUGGAAUUCCAUGUGUAGCGGUGAAAUGCGCAGAGAUAUGGAGGAACACCAGUGGCGAAGGCGACUUUCUGGUCUGUAACUGACGCUGAUGUGCGAAAGCGUGGGGAUCAAACAGGAUUAGAUACCCUGGUAGUCCACGCCGUAAACGAUGAGUGCUAAGUGUUAGGGGGUUUCCGCCCCUUAGUGCUGCAGCUAACGCAUUAAGCACUCCGCCUGGGGAGUACGACCGCAAGGUUGAAACUCAAAGGAAUUGACGGGGACCCGCACAAGCGGUGGAGCAUGUGGUUUAAUUCGAAGCAACGCGAAGAACCUUACCAAAUCUUGACAUCCUUUGAAAACUCUAGAGAUAGAGCUUUCCCCUUCGGGGGACAAAGUGACAGGUGGUGCAUGGUUGUCGUCAGCUCGUGUCGUGAGAUGUUGGGUUAAGUCCCGCAACGAGCGCAACCCUUAAGCUUAGUUGCCAUCAUUAAGUUGGGCACUCUAGGUUGACUGCCGGUGACAAACCGGAGGAAGGUGGGGAUGACGUCAAAUCAUCAUGCCCCUUAUGAUUUGGGCUACACACGUGCUACAAUGGACAAUACAAAGGGCAGCUAAACCGCGAGGUCAUGCAAAUCCCAUAAAGUUGUUCUCAGUUCGGAUUGUAGUCUGCAACUCGACUACAUGAAGCUGGAAUCGCUAGUAAUCGUAGAUCAGCAUGCUACGGUGAAUACGUUCCCGGGUCUUGUACACACCGCCCGUCACACCACGAGAGUUUGUAACACCCGAAGCCGGUGGAGUAACCAUUUAUGGAGC
RNAcentral lists this ribosomal RNA (1402 nucleotides) under Staphylococcus pseudoxylosus. RNAcentral describes it as "bacterial SSU rRNA". It matches the Rfam family "Bacterial small subunit ribosomal RNA". The record is from RNAcentral. Lineage: Bacteria; Bacillati; Bacillota; Bacilli; Caryophanales; Staphylococcaceae.